GACGAACGCUGGCGGCGUGCUUAACACAUGCAAGUCGAACGGAAAGGCCCUGCUUUUGUGGGGUGCUCGAGUGGCGAACGGGUGAGUAGCACGUGAGUAACCUGCCCUUGACUUUGGGAUAACUUCAGGAAACUGGGGCUAAUACCGGAUAGGAGCUCCUGCUGCAUGGUGGGGGUUGGAAAGUUUCGGCGGUUGGGGAUGGACUCGCGGCUUAUCAGCUUGUUGGUGGGGUAGUGGCUUACCAAGGCUUUGACGGGUAGCCGGCCUGAGAGGGUGACCGGCCACAUUGGGACUGAGAUACGGCCCAGACUCCUACGGGAGGCAGCAGUGGGGAAUAUUGCACAAUGGGCGGAAGCCUGAUGCAGCAACGCUGCGUGCGGGAUGACGGCCUUCGGGUUGUAAACCGCUUUCGCCUGUGACGAAGCGUGAGUGACGGUAAUGGGUAAAGAAGCACCGGCUAACUACGUG
Molecule: ribosomal RNA, 468 nt
Filed under: uncultured bacterium
Lineage: Bacteria
Description: partial 16S ribosomal RNA
Rfam family: Bacterial small subunit ribosomal RNA
Source: RNAcentral